UUGACCUCGAUCAGGU
Molecule: ribosomal RNA, 16 nt
Filed under: Curvularia lunata
Lineage: Eukaryota; Fungi; Ascomycota; Dothideomycetes; Pleosporales; Pleosporaceae
Description: partial 28S ribosomal RNA
Source: RNAcentral